Molecule: long non-coding RNA, 312 nt
Filed under: Gossypium barbadense (sea-island cotton)
Lineage: Eukaryota; Viridiplantae; Streptophyta; Magnoliopsida; Malvales; Malvaceae
Description: long non-coding RNA (GBAR_LNC013512)
Source: RNAcentral
AGAUGCAGUAGGAUGGAAUGAGGCUACAAAAAAAGAGCACCAAGGUCCAGUAUGACCGGGCAAAAUGGAACCUUUUUAGUCUUUGCUUCAUUCCCGUUACACGACAAUGAGCAAUGAGGGGCAGCUGUAAUAGCACAAUUUGCCCGGGGCCCAUUCAGAAUAAAAAAAAUAUAUAAAAAAAUAUAUAAAAAAAUAAAAAUAAAAACAAAAAUUAUUAAAAGUCCAUCAGUCCAUAGUUACAAACCCAAGUUACAGAGGCCCAAUUUCAAAAUACCCAAAAUUUAAACCCAGACCCGAAAUAGACCCUAAACC